AACAAAGGCAUCAUUAUCAAGUUAAUUGAAUAAUUAAUGCUACUACAAAUGCAAGAGAGUUGAGAGAACAUACCAAGAAAUGUAGAUGGAAAUGCUGAACCAAGCUUAACAAAACAAUGUGAAUGGAAUUAGUCCUGCAACCAAGCCAAGUUUUAAGAACCCUCAAAAACUGAGAGAAUAAGAAUUGAAUUCCCAAACAAAGGAAUCUAAUUCAAUUAAAAAAAGUAAAAUCCUUGUUAUUUGCAAACACCAAAAAAUAUGCCUUAAAAAUCACAAGUGACCCAAAUCAAAAUUCUUUGGUCAGAAAAAAACCAGAGUAGAAUAUGAUGCUUAAAUAGUUACUAGACACUAGAAAGCAUAUAUGAAUUCGGAAAAUUCACCUUCAAGCAUUACAACAAACACUUGAUGUGCAUCAUUUGAAAGAGUACUAGAGCAUAAAAUUAGCAAAGGAAAAAUAUGGGUUACCAUGUCCUAAGUGCAUGACUAUAUAUAUAAAAAUUAAUUUGGGUUUGUU
This 514-nucleotide long non-coding RNA is filed under the name Trifolium pratense (red clover). Its description in RNAcentral is "long non-coding RNA (TPRA_LNC002990)". The record is from RNAcentral. Lineage: Eukaryota; Viridiplantae; Streptophyta; Magnoliopsida; Fabales; Fabaceae.